Molecule: long non-coding RNA, 668 nt
Filed under: Marmota monax (woodchuck)
Lineage: Eukaryota; Metazoa; Chordata; Mammalia; Rodentia; Sciuridae
Source: RNAcentral
GAAGGGAUCCUAGUCAUGGUCAUAGGUCAACUUUCCUCCCAUGUUCUGCCUAAGCGUGGUGGGGAAGUGACCUCAGAGUGUGAGAGGGUCUCACGCUUGUUCGGCCGACUCACAGAGGGCUCCCCGGCAGCCUGAGACCCCCUAACCCAGCUGCAGACAGAGAACUGGGGAACCCAGAGAGCAGGAAAAAAAUGAAUGGACCUAAAGUGACUGGAGUGAUCAGGGUUGCCCAGGGCCCAGGAUAAUGUGGGAUCCCUGCCCUGGUGAGGGGACUCGGGCAGCACCAGCAGCAGGGGAGACAGUCCUCCAUCCCUGGGAAGAGGCUGGUCCCUCCCACUCAGACUCUGUCCCCAACACAGAAAGAAGGGGAGUGGGGCAGGGGCGGGACCUGCCUCUACCCUCCUACACACACCUUCAGAUUGUCACCCCACCUGGUGACAGUCAUAGAUCCACGGCAUCUGAGGGUUUUCUUGGAUUGCCAGGAGAGUUUUGGUCCCCUCUGUGGACAUGAAGAGAUGUUUGAAGAUAUGAAGCCAAGUUCACUCAGGGUACAGGGAGCAGGCAGCGAGAUGGGGGCUUUGAAGUCGUGCUAUCUGAAUCCCAUGCUGGGAUGUGAGUGAGGCCCAGGAGGAGGGCACCACUGUACAGGGAGUGACAAAGUACACAAC